GUACGGGUCAGCACUACCCUGAGAACGCCCGAUUCGUCUGAUCUCGGAAGCUAAGCAGGGUUUGCCCUGGUUUAGUAGUUGGAUGGAAAGGAUGUGGGCCUAAAUUGGUGAUCAAUAUA
RNAcentral lists this ribosomal RNA (119 nucleotides) under Astyanax mexicanus (Mexican tetra). Lineage: Eukaryota; Metazoa; Chordata; Actinopteri; Characiformes; Acestrorhamphidae. The record is from RNAcentral.